GACGAACGCUGGCGGCGUGCUUAACACAUGCAAGUCGAACGGAAAGGCCCUGCUUUUGUGGGGUGCUCGAGUGGCGAACGGGUGAGUAACACGUGAGUAACCUGCCCUUGACUUUGGGAUAACUUCAGGAAAAUGGGGCUAAUACCGGCUAGGAGCUCCUGCUGCAUGGUGGGGGUUGGACAGUUUCGGCGGUUGGGGAUGGACUCGCGGCUUAUCAGCUUGUUGGUGGGGUAGUGGCUGACCAAGGCUUUGACGGGUAGCCGGCCUGGGAGGGUGACCGGCCACAUUGGGACUGAGGUACGGCCCAGACUCCUACGGGAGGCAGCAGUGGGGAAUAUUGCACAGUGGGCGGAAGCCUGAUGCAGCAACGCCGCGUGCGGGAUGACGGCCUUCGGGUUGUAAACCGCUUUCGCCUGUGACGAAGCGUGAGUGACGGUAAUGGGUAAAGAAGCACCGGCUAACUACGUG
This 468-nucleotide ribosomal RNA is filed under the name uncultured bacterium. Its description in RNAcentral is "partial 16S ribosomal RNA". It matches the Rfam family "Bacterial small subunit ribosomal RNA", at positions 28 to 507 of the family's 1533-position model. The record is from RNAcentral.